GUGACCUCAAAUCAGGUAGGACUACCCGCUGAACUUAAGCAUAUCAAUAAGCGGAGGAAAAGAAACUAACAAGGAUUCCCCUAGUAACUGCGAGUGAAGCGGGAAAAGCUCAAAUUUAAAAUCUGGCGGUCUUUGGCUGUCCGAGUUGUAAUCUAGAGAAGUGUUAUCCGCGCUGGACCGUGUACAAGUCUCCUGGAAUGGAGCAUCAUAGAGGGUGAGAAUCCCGUCUUUGACAUGGACUGCCAGGGCUUUGUGAUGCGCUCUCAAAGAGUCGAGUUGUUUGGGAAUGCAGCUCAAAAUGGGUGGUAAAUUCCAUCUAAAGCUAAAUAUUGGCGAGAGACCGAUAGCGAACAAGUACCGUGAGGGAAAGAUGAAAAGAACUUUGGAAAGAGAGUUAAACAGUACGUGAAAUUGCUGAAAGGGAAACGCUUGAAGUCAGUCGCGUCGUCCAGGGAUCAACCUUGCUUUUGCUUGGUGCACUUUCUGGUUCGAUGGGUCAGCAUCAAUUUUGACUGUUGGAAAAAGGUCAAGGGAAUGUGGCAUCUUUGGAUGUGUUUAUAGCCCUUGGUCACAUACAAUGGUUGGGAUUGAGGAACUCAGCACGCCGCAAGGCCGGGUUUAAACCACGUACGUGCUAGGAUGC
Molecule: ribosomal RNA, 643 nt
Filed under: Cortinarius biformis
Lineage: Eukaryota; Fungi; Basidiomycota; Agaricomycetes; Agaricales; Cortinariaceae
Description: eukaryotic LSU rRNA
Rfam family: Eukaryotic large subunit ribosomal RNA
Source: RNAcentral